UGGUCUUAAUAUAUCCUUAUCUACUACUUCUCAUUCAUGAGUUAGGAUUUCACUAUUCCUACAAAACCACCAAUCAUGUUGCGCCAUGUGUCUUUCUUUUAUUAUUUUUUCGAAUUUUGUUUUUUUAGCUGGAGUCUAUUACUUCCAGAUCUGAGGGCCCAUAAUUGCCUCAUCAAACUCCAUCUUUUAAUCUGGUCCGUCCAAUUGAAUUAUUCUAAAUCUCCCAAACCUACCCUGUUCUCUCUCUCUUCCAACACUAACAAGCUGCAAAGGGGGAAAUGCUCAGAAGUCGACCCUAAUCCCCACCAUCACGUGGCCACCUCCACCGCACCACCUCCUCUAUUCCCCUCAAACCCACCACCACCGAUCACCUCUUCACCAUCAGAAUUGCGCGGCCACCUUCAGCAAAACCUAAAUCGAGCACCACCACCAUCGCUCCCUUUCUUUCCAGAUCGUGCCACCGCCGGCGCCGUUCCGUCCUUUUCCCCUGAUUUCUCGCUUACUCUGUAUCAACGUCACUGAUUUCCCCCAUUUCCAGCGGUUACCGACGUCACUCGGCGCAAAAUACUUACUUUCCACGACCCUCAGCGUGCUCCCACGGAUUCUCCGGUGAUUGCCAUCACAUCUCCCUAUCAACCAUCACGUGGAUAUGUGUACUCUGGAGCUUACUUUUGUAAAUCUAUGGUUCUGCUGGAGCAACUAAUAAAAUUAUGCAGGAGGGGCAAUGGUAAUUGUGCAGGAAGAUUUCCUUUGAAGUUGCUGAUACUCUAGAGCAACAUUUCCCUGAUGGUCAGUUUGAUCUGGUGUGGUCCAUGGAGAGUGGCGAGCAUAUGCCUGACAAACCUAAGUUUGCUGGAGAGUUAGCUCGGGUGGCAGCACCAGGUUGGACCAUAAUAAUUGUAACAUGGUGCCACAGGGAUCUUGGCCCAGCUGAAGAAUCCCUGCAGCCAUGGGAGCAGAAUCUCUUGAAGAGGAUAUGUGAUGCAUUUUACCUUCCAGCAUGGUGCUCAACUGCUGAUUAUGUCAAAUUGCUGGAAUCCCAUUCACUUCAGGAAUGAAAACCAUAAAAGGAGCUUUGGCUAUGCCAUUAUGAUAGAAGGAUUCAAGAAGGGUGUCAUCAAGUUUGCCAUUGUUACAUGUAGCCAAUUGGCUUUGCAAUCCUGUACAUAAGCAUAGGGAGCUACUUACUCUAAUCUGGUGGGAGUACUAGCAGGGGAGCAAAAUGACAUCUCUUUCACAAAGUACAUCCAUAUUUUUUUUAGUAUAAUCUAAGUAAGCUAAAAUCUUGAUGUAGUGUAUAGAUCAUGCAGUCUAUGUUAUGUUUCGUAAAAAUAACAAUUAAUACGAAUAUAAUAUGUAAAUAUUUUAUUGAUUACUAAAUUUAACUUUAAAUAAUAUUCCAACAAUUUGUAUA
Lotus japonicus is the source of this 1414-nucleotide RNA transcript. It is a transcript of the gene named tocopherol O-methyltransferase, chloroplastic-like, with no coding region annotated. The record is from RefSeq and is a predicted model, not a curated record. NCBI's taxonomy places the organism in Eukaryota, Viridiplantae, Streptophyta, Magnoliopsida, Fabales, Fabaceae. The transcript has 5 exons.